This 400-nucleotide ribosomal RNA is filed under the name Sphingomonas sp. Z4_80_15. RNAcentral's name for it is "bacterial SSU rRNA". It matches the Rfam family "Bacterial small subunit ribosomal RNA", at positions 134 to 568 of the family's 1533-position model. The record is from RNAcentral. Lineage: Bacteria; Pseudomonadati; Pseudomonadota; Alphaproteobacteria; Sphingomonadales; Sphingomonadaceae.
AGGUUCGGAAUAACAGCGAGAAAUUGCUGCUAAUACCGGAUGAUAUCGCGAGAUCAAAGAUUUAUCGCCUGAGGAUGAGCCCGCGUAGGAUUAGCUAGUUGGUGUGGUAAAGGCGCACCAAGGCGACGAUCCUUAGCUGGUCUGAGAGGAUGAUCAGCCACACUGGGACUGAGACACGGCCCAGACUCCUACGGGAGGCAGCAGUGGGGAAUAUUGGACAAUGGGCGAAAGCCUGAUCCAGCAAUGCCGCGUGAGUGAUGAAGGCCUUAGGGUUGUAAAGCUCUUUUACCCGGGAUGAUAAUGACAGUACCGGGAGAAUAAGCUCCGGCUAACUCCGUGCCAGCAGCCGCGGUAAUACGGAGGGAGCUAGCGUUAUUCGGAAUUACUGGGCGUAAAGCGC